UUAAGCGACUAAGCGUACACGGUGGAUGCCUAGGCAAUCAGAGGCGAUGAAGGACGUGCUAAUCUGCGAUAAGCGUCGGUAAGGUGAUAUGAACCGUUACAACCGACGAUUUCCGAAUGGGGAAACCCAGUGCAAUUCGUUGCACUAUCGUUUGAUGAAUACAUAGUCAAACGAAGCGAACCGGGGGAACUGAAACAUCUCAGUACCCCGAGGAAAAGAAAUCAACCGAGAUUCCCCUAGUAGCGGCGAGCGAACGGGGAGCAGCCCAGAGUCUUAAUCAGCAUUAGCAUCAGGAGAACGGUCUGGAAAGUCCGGCAGUAAAGGGUGAUAGCCCCGUAUCCGAAGGUGUUAGUGUUGUGAACUCGACGAGUAGGGCGGGACACGUGUUAUCCUGUCUGAAUAUGGGGGGACCAUCCUCCAAGGCUAAAUACUCCUGAUUGACCGAUAGUGAACCAGUACCGUGAGGGAAAGGCGAAAAGAACCCCGGCGAGGGGAGUGAAAUAGAACCUGAAACCGUGUACGUACAAGCAGUGGGAGCCUUGAUUUAUCAGGGUGACUGCGUACCUUUUGUAUAAUGGGUCAGCGACUUAUAUUCUGUAGCAAGGUUAACCGAAUAGGGGAGCCGUAGGGAAACCGAGUCUUAACUGGGCGAAUAAGUUGCAGGGUAUAGACCCGAAACCCGGUGAUCUAGCCAUGGGCAGGUUGAAGGUUGGGUAACACUAACUGGAGGACCGAACCGACUAAUGUUGAAAAAUUAGCGGAUGACUUGUGGCUGGGGGUGAAAGGCCAAUCAAACCGGGAGAUAGCUGGUUCUCCCCGAAAGCUAUUUAGGUAGCGCCUCGUGAACUCAUCUUCGGGGGUAGAGCACUGUUUCGACUAGGGGGUCAUCCCGACUUACCAACUCGAUGCAAACUACGAAUACCGAAGAAUGUUAUCACGGGAGACACACGGCGGGUGCUAACGUUCGUCGUGAAGAGGGAAACAACCCAGACCGCCAGCUAAGGUCCCAAAGUCAUAGUUAAGUGGGAAACGAAGUGGGAAGGCUCAGACAGCCAGGAUGUUGGCUUAGAAGCAGCCAUCAUUUAAAGAAAGCGUAAUAGCUCACUGGUCGAGUCGGCCUGCGCGGAAGAUGUAACGGGGCUAAACUAUGCACCGAAGCUGCGGCAGCGAUAUUUAGAUAUUGUUGGGUAGGGGAGCGUUCUGUAAGCCUGUGAAGGUGUGCUGUGAGGCAUGCUGGAGGUAUCAGAAGUGCGAAUGCUGACAUAAGUAACGAUAAUGCGGGUGAAAAACCCGCACGCCGGAAGACCAAGGGUUCCUGUCCAACGUUAAUCGGGGCAGGGUGAGUCGACCCCUAAGGCGAGGCAGAAAUGCGUAGUCGAUGGGAAACGGGUUAAUAUUCCCGUACUGGUGAUAAUUGCGAUGGGGGGACGGAGAAGGCUAGGCUAUCCGGGCGACGGUUGUCCCGGUUUAAGGAUGUAGGCAGGUGAAUUAGGCAAAUCCGGUUCACUAUAUGCUGAGGUCCGAUGACGAGUCACUACGGUGAUGAAGUAGCUCAUGCCCCGCUUCCAGGAAAAGCCUCUAAGCUCUAGAUUAUCAUUAAUCGUACCCCAAACCGACACAGGUGGUCAGGUAGAGAAUACUCAGGCGCUUGAGAGAACUCGGGUGAAGGAACUAGGCAAAAUGGUGCCGUAACUUCGGGAGAAGGCACGCUGGCAUUAGGUGAAGUGAUUUACUCAUGGAGCUGAAGCCAGUCGCAGAUACCAGCUGGCUGCAACUGUUUAUUAAAAACACAGCACUGUGCAAACACGAAAGUGGACGUAUACGGUGUGACGCCUGCCCGGUGCUGGAAGGUUAAUUGAUGGGGUUAUCCGUAAGGAGAAGCUCUUGAUCGAAGCCCCAGUAAACGGCGGCCGUAACUAUAACGGUCCUAAGGUAGCGAAAUUCCUUGUCGGGUAAGUUCCGACCUGCACGAAUGGCGUAAUGAUGGCCAGGCUGUCUCCACCCGAGACUCAGUGAAAUUGAACUCGCUGUGAAGAUGCAGUGUACCCGCGGCAAGACGGAAAGACCCCGUGAACCUUUACUAUAGCUUGACACUGAACAUUGAGCCUUGAUGUGUAGGAUAGGUGGGAGGCUUUGAAGCGUGGACGCCAGUCUGCGUGGAGCCAACCUUGAAAUACCACCCUUUAAUGUUUGAUGUUCUAACGUUGCCCCAUUAUCUGGGGUGCGGACAGUGUCUGGUGGGUAGUUUGACUGGGGCGGUCUCCUCCCAAAGAGUAACGGAGGAGCACGAAGGUUGGCUAAGCAUGGUCGGACAUCAUGCGGUUAGUGCAAAGGCAUAAGCCAGCUUGACUGCGAGAGUGACGGCUCGAGCAGGUACGAAAGUAGGUCUUAGUGAUCCGGUGGUUCUGAAUGGAAGGGCCAUCGCUCAACGGAUAAAAGGUACUCCGGGGAUAACAGGCUGAUACCGCCCAAGAGUUCAUAUCGACGGCGGUGUUUGGCACCUCGAUGUCGGCUCAUCACAUCCUGGGGCUGAAGUAGGUCCCAAGGGUACGGCUGUUCGCCGUUUAAAGUGGUACGCGAGCUGGGUUUAGAACGUCGUGAGACAGUUCGGUCCCUAUCUGCCGUGGGCGUUGGAAGAUUGAAAGGGGCUGCUCCUAGUACGAGAGGACCGGAGUGGACGCACCACUGGUGUUCGGGUUGUCAUGCCAAUGGCAUUGCCCGGUAGCUAAGUGCGGAAGAGAUAACCGCUGAAAGCAUCUAAGCGGGAAACUUGCCUUGAGAUGAGUCUUCCCUGACUCUUUAAGGGUCCUAAAGGAACGUUUAAGACUAAGACGUUGAUAGGUUGGGUGUGUAAGCGUAGCGAUACGUUGAGCUAACCAAUACUAAUGAACCGUGAGGCUUAACC
RNAcentral lists this ribosomal RNA (2905 nucleotides) under Providencia rettgeri. Its description in RNAcentral is "23S ribosomal RNA". It matches the Rfam family "Bacterial large subunit ribosomal RNA". The record is from RNAcentral. Lineage: Bacteria; Pseudomonadati; Pseudomonadota; Gammaproteobacteria; Enterobacterales; Morganellaceae.